RNAcentral lists this ribosomal RNA (393 nucleotides) under uncultured bacterium. RNAcentral's name for it is "partial 16S ribosomal RNA". It matches the Rfam family "Bacterial small subunit ribosomal RNA", at positions 523 to 918 of the family's 1533-position model. The record is from RNAcentral.
AUACGGAGGAUCCGAGCGUUAUCCGGAUUUAUUGGGUUUAAAGGGUGCGUAGGUGGUUUGAUAAGUCAGCGGUGAAAGUUUGCAGCUUAACUGUAAAAAUGCCGUUGAAACUGUCGGACUUGAGUGUAAAUGAGGUAGGCGGCAUGCGUGGUGUAGCGGUGAAAUGCAUAGAUAUCACGCAGAACUCCGAUUGCGAAGGCAGCUUACUAAGCUACAACUGACACUGAAGCACGAAAGCGUGGGGAUCAAACAGGAUUAGAUACCCUGGUAGUCCACGCAGUAAACGAUGAUUACUAGCUGUUUGCGAUACACAGUAAGCGGCGCAGCGAAAGCGUUAAGUAAUCCACCUGGGGAGUACGCCGGCAACGGUGAAACUCAAAGGAAUUGACGGGG